This is a long non-coding RNA of Hemicordylus capensis (graceful crag lizard), 983 nucleotides long. RefSeq lists it as uncharacterized. NCBI's taxonomy places the organism in Eukaryota, Metazoa, Chordata, Lepidosauria, Squamata, Cordylidae. The record is from RefSeq and is a predicted model, not a curated record. The transcript is spliced from 5 exons.
AAAAUACUGUAGCGGUAUUUACAACAUGCAGACUGUUCCUUAUGCUUCUCCUGCUUGAAGGGAGACUUCCAGCUUUUCACACAAUUAGAAAGAUGGACCCUACUUAACACCAUGUGUAGAAAAAAUCGAGGAAGCAUCACAGCUACUUUAGGAGUCCACAGCAAUCCUCAAGCACAGAGUUACUCCUGUGAAACUCUGCACAUCAGGUUCUAGACACAGGAGAGGGUGCUAAGAAGUAUGUCAAUCCAGCGAUCCACUAGGAUGAUGACAGAGUAAUACUGACCAAGGUGCAUCCCUGGAAGUCAAUGGGAUCCAUCACCCGUUGGGGCUGAACAAUCUGAAUAAGUCCCCCACCCUUGCAAGAUCAGAAACUGCUAGUAUCCUGCACUCCACCAGACAAUUUGGAAAGCAUAUCUCCUACAUUUUGGCAGAUUGAAUGUCGACAAAACUGGUGGGAUCAUAUAAUGUCAUUAAGAGGAUGAGAUGAAGAGUAUUGGAUAUGUCACCCAUAAAGCAUGAAAUCUGAGACUUCGCAGCAGUGAAAAGCAGAAUUUCUGUGCCGUGUCCAUUGGAGUAACUAGGAUCUUCUUGUUGGAUGAAAUAUGGCGUUUUCUUUGCAUUUGUGCAGCCGAGUUCUAAUCAUGCUUACUCUGAAGUAAGUCUGCCUUAUUUCAACAGGGUUUGGUUCCAAGUAAGUAUGUUUAGGAUUACAGCUUGUAAGUGUGUUUAGGAUUACAGUCUCCCUGCAAACAAAUUUGUGAAACGUUUAUAAUUUUAUUAAUGAUUAACUUUGAUCCCUAAGUUAUCUAAAUAUUUUUAAUUGGAGGUUAAUGGAUUAAAUCAUAAUGAUAGUAGAUAGAACAGAGUGAUACGACAGAGAGUUGAAAUUCUGGUUGAUAUAUAAGACAUAUGGGAGAUGUGAGUUACUGCAUUUGUGUAAUUUUUUUUCCUAUUUUUCUUCUUCCUUCCUUUCCUUGCUGUAA